Egretta garzetta (little egret) is the source of this 1310-nucleotide long non-coding RNA. RefSeq lists it as uncharacterized. The record is from RefSeq and is a predicted model, not a curated record. NCBI's taxonomy places the organism in Eukaryota, Metazoa, Chordata, Aves, Pelecaniformes, Ardeidae. The transcript is spliced from 4 exons.
CGGAUGCUGCGCCGUCAGCCGCGUCGAAGCGAAGGUGGAGCGUGCCGGCGCCUGUGAGAGCCCGGCGGGAACGGCGCUCGGUUCUGGGCACGGCAGCCUGGAAGCUGCCCUGCGCCGGCGUGACCCCAGGUUUUCUCCGUCACUUGCCUGGGAUGAGUAUUUAUGAACGUGCUGUGUCUUUUGACUCUUUAUGUUGGAACUCAAAACUACGUUGAUGAAAGCUCUUUUGCCACAUGGUAAAACACGGGUAACCAGGAGGCUUAAGGAGCGUCGUUCGGUCAUUGCUUCCUCAGCGUCAGCCGUGGCUGAUCUCACCAGUGGCAGGAUACCCAGAGAUGAGUGAGCAUUGGUCUGACCAAAAUAGGAAGACCUACUGCACAUUUCUGUAGCUGGCCAGCAAAUGAGGGAGGACUCCCGCUAAAGCAACUACAUCAGUCUAUACUCUUUUUUUGAAAACCAUGCAAGAACUGAAUACCCUGUACUAGACAACACUUCUCUCUGUAGAAAAAAAGUUUUGGGGGUAAUGCCGCAGCAGGGAAGUGAUUUCUGCUAUCACUAAGAAAUUGACGGUGGUGGAGGGGCAGCAGAGUACUUGGAAAAGAGCUACAAGGCAAGUUAAACUGUAAGUUUUAUGAUAUGAGCCUGAUAUUAACUAUCAACAUUUUGAUUUCCUUAGGAAACUACUUAACAUUUUUUAAAUUAAUUUAAGAUUUCUCGCUUGUUGAAACAUGGUUGGAAAUUGUUUAAGCCAGUGAAACAGCUGUGGGUUUUAGCGUAGGAGUUAGCGUAGAAAUCCAUCAGUCAUAUCCUUUAUAUAAAAAUUAAGCAUUAGUAUACAAUAGAGAGUAUCUUUGUUUUGUUUCGAUGUCUCAAUCAUAAUCCACAGCAAAAAUUAAAAGCUGGUAAACAGUCAUUCCAUAAUGCCUCGACUUAAUUUAUGGAUUAUUUUACUAAAUGGAAGAUGAGCUUUUUGCCUUUCACAGUAGUGGAGUCACGGUGCAAUAGACCAGCAGAGGGCGAAAGUCCCACUGCUGUGCUUCCUGAGGUGGCGGAUAGGCCCUCGGUUUCUAGGAGCUGAAUGCUAGGGCAUAGCUACAAGUUUUUAUCUGACCUGAAUCCAACAAAAAGUAGAAAGGUAACAAUUCUUUUAGGUUGAAAGGUUCAAAAUUAGAAAGGAAAUUUUGAAAUAAAAAAAGUCAAGCAAUUUCAGUGCAAUAUUUUAGCACACGGAAAACAAAUGUAUUAAGUAAGUGGGGCUAGUUGAAAUUUGUUAAUGCCGGCCACCAUCAUGCACAUUAGCUUCAGAUGAC